UGGGGAAUAUUGCACAAUGGGGGAAACCCUGAUGCAGCGACGCCGCGUGAGCGAAGAAGGCUUUCGAGUCGUAAAGCUCUGUCCUAUGAGAAGAUAAUGACGGUAUCAUAGGAGGAAGCCCUGGCUAAAUACGUGCCAGCAGCCGCGGUAAUACGUAUGGGGCGAGCGUUGUCCGGAAUUAUUGGGCGUAAAGGGUACGUAGGUGGUUUUUUAAGUCAGGUGUCAAAGCGUGGAGCUUAACUCCAUUAAGCACUUGAAACUGAAAGACUUGAUUGAAGGAGAGGAAAGUGAAUUUCCAGGUUUGGCGGUGAAAUGCGUGGAUUUUGGGAGGAAUACCGUUGGCAAAGGCGACUUUCGGGACUUUUCCUGACGUUCAGGAACAAAGCGUGGGGAGCAAACAGG
This 402-nucleotide ribosomal RNA is filed under the name Verrucomicrobiota bacterium. RNAcentral's name for it is "Verrucomicrobia bacterium partial 16S ribosomal RNA". It matches the Rfam family "Bacterial small subunit ribosomal RNA", at positions 355 to 776 of the family's 1533-position model. The record is from RNAcentral. Lineage: Bacteria; Pseudomonadati; Verrucomicrobiota.